AUGAGGAAAGGCUGAGAGAGCUUGGCCUGUUUAGCCUGGAGAAGAGAAGGCUGAGAGGGGAUCUUAUUAACGUGUACAAGUAUCUGAAGGGAGGGUGUCAAGAGGAUGGGACCAGACUCUUUUCAGUGGUGCCGAGUGACAGGACGCGAGGCAAUGGGCACAAACUGAAACACAGACAGUUCCAUCUGAACAUGAGGAAAAACUUUUUCACUGUGAGGGUGACAGAGCACUGGAACAGGUUGCCCAGAGAGCUUGUGGAGUCUCCUUCUCUGGAGAUAUUCAACACGCGCCUGGAUGCAAUCCUGUGCAACGUGCUCUAGGUGACCCUGCUUGAGCAUGGGGGUUGGACUAGAUGAUCUCCAGAGGUCCCUUCCAACCUCAGCGAUUCUGUGAUUCUGUGAAUCAAAUCUUCUGCAUGGUAGCAGAAAAUUGAUAGUUUUCACGUAAUCGUUUUUCAUUGACCUACCUGAAAUUUUUAUCUGGAGUCCAUUUGCUGGAAUGGUGUGCAUAUUACAAAAAUGGCCACUGUCAUUGCUGCUGUUGACAAUUUCAGCAGAGCAGUCAAAGAGGAACAGUGCUUGGAGACUUAAUUAUCCUCACUCUCAUUUUUAGGUCUUACUUCUCCAGGCAGCCUGAUGCAGAAAGGGUGCUGGCUUGCUUUUAUCACAUCAAAGCCUGAUAACAGCAAUUCUGUGCUUACCAACCUCCCUCAUGAGCGUAUACAGCAUCCACAGAUGCCUUUGAAGACUUCUGCUGAGGAUCAUGGACCAUGUCCUAGUUCUCUAAUCCUGCAAGGAGAUAACAGUCCCACAAUGGAGGAAAUGGGCAAAAGUGAUGGAAUCAGUGAGCUGAAACAUCUGCACAUCACCAGCAGCUGCCACUGCCCUCAAGGAAAUCUUCCAGAGAAGAGGUCCAGAGACAAAGAGAAGCAGGAGCCUUGCAAGCUUGUGUGA
RNAcentral lists this long non-coding RNA (953 nucleotides) under Apteryx haastii (Great spotted kiwi). RNAcentral describes it as "lncRNA (ENSAHAG00000001607.1)". The record is from RNAcentral. Lineage: Eukaryota; Metazoa; Chordata; Aves; Apterygiformes; Apterygidae.